Molecule: long non-coding RNA, 1236 nt
Organism: Herpailurus yagouaroundi (jaguarundi)
Lineage: Eukaryota; Metazoa; Chordata; Mammalia; Carnivora; Felidae
Exons: 2
Source: RefSeq, a predicted model, not a curated record
UUAACCGCAGCUUCAGAGCAGGAACUAAGAGUCCGUGUGAACUGUCAUUCUUCUGUUUUCUCCGUAAGAGGACGCAGGAAGUACUUUUAAAACUUAUUUUCUCUUUGCGCAGCACAAACCGUUGCUUUCUGCUUCGCGAGCGGCUGCUGUGAUUUCCCGGGACACCGAUCUCCCGGUGUCCCGAGGAGCGCCCUACUUCCUCGGGCUCCGCCAAGUUCAUGCUCCCAACCGAACUACCCUGGAAAGCGUCUGUUCCUAGAACAGAGCCGCGUUCCCCAGAGACCCAGAAGCGCUGGACUCACAGACACCGUGGUUUACAUCCUAAAACAGUGACAUUGCACAGCCACUGAGGAAUCUACGUGAAACCGGACAUAUGAUGACAAAACUUCCUACCCAUUACUCACUGACACCUCAAUGCAAGUUUCCCCUCCCACCUCUUAUGCCCCCCCAUACGUGAACACACACGUGGACAGAGGCUUCCGCAGGGACGCUGGGGGCCACAUGGCAUGUAAGCAGGGUCCGGCUGGAGGCACCGUUACCCACACUGUCGCCCGGUUGUGAUGUUCCUUUGCAACACGAAAUGAGAGUCCAGCCUCUGGGAACAUCGGCGAAGUGUCUGUAAUUUUCAGACACCUUCACGCUGACUGUGUGGGAGCGUCUGUUUCUGUUUGUUCUCCCGGCUGAUUGCAAAGAUUUUUUAAAACCCAUUUGCUCCUUAACCCAACACAACGGUUCUCCACCAGAUAUCCUGAGCUCUCAGGAUAAGCCCUCGUGCCUGCCGAGAAAGCAUUGGAUUUCCUGGCGUUUUAUUCCCAGUCCUUAGUCCCCGUUCCCGGUGAAGGAGCAGGUGUGGCUGGGGAGGCAGCGAGGAGGCGAGAGAAGGGCUUUGGACCAGGUGGGCUGGCUCCCCCCAGCUCUCCCCUCCCGAGCCGUGGGAUUUCUGCAAGCCUCAAGACGCCGGAUCCCAGUUUUGUUUCUGGAGAAGAGUGAGGCCAGAGGGGAGAAGGGUUUCUCACACUGGGGGCCCGUGCCAGUCGCCUGGAAGUUUCAGGAGCCACAGGAAUAAUUGCAAACUCCCUGUGGGUUCUCCUUCCCUUCGUGGUGAGGAAUGGAAAACGUUCUUUACAGCCAGUUCAUACAGGCAGUUGACCCCUAAGCAACGUGGGAGUGAGGGACGCCAACCCCCACGCAGGCAAAAAUCCGCAUAUAACUUUGGACUCCCUAAAAACUUAACUA